AUGCACAUCGUCUCUCCUGUCGGUGAGAUGAGGGGAAGGACACAUCAGGUGGUGACUGAAGAAGGCAGGCGCCUCGUGGCUUCACUCAUCAGAACUCUGCACGAUUUCCACAGAGCUGGCAAGUGCCCCGAGCGAUUUUGCGCAUCAGACAUUGCCGUGACAUCUACUGGUAGGGUGAAACACACAAAUAUAAUCUUGCUACGAGGGAAGACCGAUGAACUGGUACUCAGAAACUACGAGGAUGCCCGCGAUAUUUUUGAGAAGACUGUGUUUGACGGGUAUGAUUCAGCUCUUAUCCUGAAGGCAUUAAACACUUGUUGCAGCUGA
RNAcentral lists this ribosomal RNA (327 nucleotides) under Triticum aestivum (bread wheat). Its description in RNAcentral is "partial small subunit ribosomal RNA". Lineage: Eukaryota; Viridiplantae; Streptophyta; Magnoliopsida; Poales; Poaceae. The record is from RNAcentral.